AUGUAUAGUAUAUAUAAUGUAUGUAUGUAUGUAUAGUAUAUAUGUGUGUGUAUAUAUAUGAAUGAACAAUCAAUGUAUACUCGGAGCCAAACGACGCAUUAUAAGCCCAACCUGGUAAGAUGAAGAAUGUAUUCACAUGCUGUCUGUCUGUGUAGGAUGCAUUCAGCUUGCUGGCGUACUCGGACCCGUGGAACUGCCCCGUUGGCCAGCAGUUAGACCCCACCCAGAGAGAAACCCUCUGCUCUGCACUCAACAGCGCCAUAUUGGAGUCCCAAAAUCUGCCCAAGCAGCCUCCGCUGAUGUUGGCGCUGGGCCAGGCCACGGAGUGUGUUCAGCUCAUGGCCCGGGUCCGGUCCGGUUCCUGCUCCUUCGCCAGAGUAGACAACUUUUUGCACUAGCCCAGGUCCAGGUUAAUGUUAAGUAGCACUGAGAGAAGGCAUGUCCAGCAGGUAGUUGUCAUGGCGACGGAGGAAAGAGCAUGCGUGUGAUUGGUGUGUUUGGCUGUCCGUCAGACCGAGCCAGCGGCACAGGCAGAGGAGCAGAGGAGAGCGGCAGAGAAGAAAGCUUCCUUUUUAAUUUAGUAUUAUCAAAUAAAGACAUGUGUGACACUAUUUAAAGAUGAUUAAUUAUGAUUCUGUUUAUCUAGCCAUUUUUAUAGUUCUUUUCUUUUUUUUUUGUCAGUUUGUUGUGCUCAUCCUGGACAAAACAAAUUGUGAAUCCCCUUUUUAUUUUUUCUUCUGUUUUUAUUGGGUGGAUUUUGAUUCCCUGCGAUCAGUAUUUUACUCACGUUGUUGUUGUUGUUGUUGUUCACCAUAUCACAGACCACAAUACCCGCAUCGGGCUACCACGGUGACCCCCACCGCUGUAGGUCAACUCUACGAACCCUGAGGCAUAUUCACAUCGUCUUUGAUAAGAUGCAGAAGACAGAAAGACUCCUUUAUCCUCCUAUAAUACUUGGAAGUGCAUUCAUGUCUUGAAAUAAAUUCAACCGGGGCGAGCAAACAAGUGCUCAGCAUGGAGAACAAAAAGCGCCAUUUAACGUGUGGAGCAGAUCAGUAGCUCCAGUCAAGGCUGAUUCCGUACAGCAGUGAACACUGCUGCUGAUAGAAAAUAGAAAAUGGACAUAUGUGAGACAAAACUGGGUCCCUAAAUUAUUCCAGAAAAUUGGAAUUUAAAAUGCAUCUUUCAGUGUCACAGCAUUGGAACGUUAAAGCAGUAAAAUGCUCUGUGCUAACAGGUUAGACACAAGGCCUCUGUAGUGGAGAACACUGCCAUUAACCAGGGGGAUAGGGUGAUGACAAGUGAUUGAAGGAACAGUUCACCCGAAAAUAAAAAGAUAGUUAUUUUUCGUCUUCCCUCUCUAGUGCUAUUUAUCAAUCUAGAUUGUUUUGGUUUGAGUUGCUGAGUGUUGGAGAGGACGACGCCAUUAAUGUUUACGUCUCGACCACGAGCCUCUCCUCCACAACGUUGGCCGGUGUAGUUCGGUUAAAAGUAAAUAAUUCCUACGUCAAACUGCUCACAACAAGGUCUGUGCAUUAUCUUAAGUAACUGGGUCAGGAUUUCUGGAAAGACAUGAUGCUUUUCAGUUUUUUCGAAUGCAUUUUCUCCCCUGCUUUGAGCACCUCAAGCCCGGUGCCAUGUAGACCCAUUAUAUUGGAGAGAGGGCAGACAUCUUCAACACUCUGCAACUCACACACCAAAACAACCUAGACUGAUAAAUAGCACUACAGGUAACAUGAAAUACAAGGUGUAUUUCUGAUUUAGGGGUGAACUGUCUCUUUUAAAUUGGAAAAUAAGAAGUGCUGGAACCUUAGUUCUACUGUAACGACCCCAACAUAGACCAAUCAGUGACGUCAUUGCAGGUGGCAGCGCUCAGCACCAGCUGUUAUCACGGUUUACCAGCGUAAAGAAAAUCUGUAUCAAAGGCGGACUAACGAGCACAGUGUGUGUGGACGGCUAGAAGUUAAGUCACCUCUGAGGAUUUCAUUAUUGCAGUCUGUUUCUUGUUGCCCACAGCCUGACCUGCUCAGUGCAUUUGCUGUCGCAAUUAAAAUUUCAAACAAACCGAUGAAAUCAUUUGCAGAACGAGAAUGUUUUUUUUUUUUUAAAUUUUAUGGUGAUAAUUGUGAAUGUGAUAAUUAAGUCACAGUCUUUCAUUUUUGGCGUUUGAUGCCAAACCACAUUUUAAAGGUUGUUAAAACCACUUGUGUGUGUUGGAAGAAGGUGUUGUCCCUCCCACACACACACACUCAGACCCCUCCUAUUCUCUAACAGCCAUAAACUUCAUUAGGUUAUUUAGUUCAUAAUAUCUUGUUUUAUUUAUUUCAUAUUUGAGUUUAAUAUUGAAUUAUUGAUUUUGACAUUCUAUCAUCGUGAUCAGCUUUCUGUCUCUGUAUCUAAUCAGAUGAUUGUUCUUUGCAAAAUAAAAAAAUCAGACUCGACACCCUUCUAUUUCCAAUCCAAUAAUUGGAUGUUGAUUACAACAACUUGUUUUGUUCCAUCCCUUAGUUUUAUGUGAAACAUUGUAACUCUUUUGUUUUUACACCAGAUUUAUUUUCUACCAAAUAGCACUGACUUACUGUUGUCUGAAUAGUGGCAAGCUGUCACUUUCGGGUGCUUUGUUAUGACCUGGCAAAUGUCUAAAGGAUCCACCCUGAAGUGUAUAUUUCCAUUUAUAAGUCUGAUGUAGAGAAAUAUGGAAUAAUAUGUGGGGUUUACUACAGGGUAUGUUCACACUUUUUACCAAGCUGGUUUUUAUAAAGACCUUCUGCUAUAAUAGGAACUAUUCUAUAAUAACCACACAUACAGCACACACUCAACAUCUGCUUCUACAGCUGUAAAGGACUUCUGUUACACACACACACACACACACACACACACACACACACACACA
Molecule: long non-coding RNA, 2893 nt
Organism: Anarrhichthys ocellatus (wolf-eel)
Lineage: Eukaryota; Metazoa; Chordata; Actinopteri; Perciformes; Anarhichadidae
Exons: 3
Source: RefSeq, a predicted model, not a curated record